RNAcentral lists this long non-coding RNA (262 nucleotides) under Lupinus angustifolius (narrow-leaved blue lupine). RNAcentral's name for it is "long non-coding RNA (LANG_LNC001310)". The record is from RNAcentral. Lineage: Eukaryota; Viridiplantae; Streptophyta; Magnoliopsida; Fabales; Fabaceae.
AACAAUUCUUCAAGUUUUGUGAACCUUCUAUGUUUCAUAGUUUAUGUAAUGAUUUCUAGUUAUCAUCUAAUAUGUUCAUGAAUAGAAAGAGUUAGGUUAGUCCUUUGUGAAGUAAGCCACUUUGGCCAUCGAGUUUUUUUUUUUUGGUUUCCCACAUGUAUCAUCGCACUGGAAACAAUCUUGUCCGAGUCGGAAACAUCUACAUGUAUGUGGGGCUAAUUCUCCCAACGAAUAUUUUUUUCAUCCAUAAGAUUCGAACCCG